AACACGGUAGUGAGUUAUAUUGUCAGAAAAAACAGAAACAGUCAAUGCCACAUUUCCUAUAACAACCAAAUGCACAAAUUGUUAAGACACAAUAAUAAAGAUGGCUACAACACUGUCAUAUUGUAGUACGACUGAAUAGUAUUGGGAGACAAAUUUUAGUAUGUAACACUCGAGCUCAGAUUAGUGAGAUUAAAGGAAGAUUCCACAAAUCGCUAAUGUAAGAUACAACACUGUAAUUUGGUAUCCAUACUUGUCUUAGUAAUGUGCAGAUUACAACAACCACAAAUGAUAUAUAACCAGCAAAAAAAUUAUUUAAGCGACCUGAAGCUGCCAUAGAUUCUGCUCAACUACAAAAAGCAGGUAAGCUUCCAUAAUUUCAGGCUGAUAUCAAAAGUUUGAAACUGAUCAAUACAACACCAUAAGGAGCAGAAAUGAAGACAACAAUAAAGGGACAAACACAUAAACCAUAGUGAACAAACCAAAGAGGUGGAUGGAGAUCACCGGUUAAACAGGGACAUGGUGGCAUACGGGCAGCGAACUGCGAGAAUGGAACAAACGCAAACGAGUCAGCAAUUUCCCGGCGGGUUAUCCUCGGAAAUCUGGCGAAAGAACAUAAUUAAAAAAAAUCAGAUGGUAAAAGACAGUGACAGAGCGAAGAAAACGACAUAAAAUGAAGAGUGGCAUCAAUAAGAAGGCGUGGCAGAGUGAAUGGGAAAAAUGAAUUACCAGGCAGAUCGAUGGUUCGUUUUUCUAUUUAUCCUUCUGAUGUCCGGUAUAAGCAAAAAUUGAGAUUCUGACCAAAGAGUUGCAGAGGCAAAGAACUGAUGGUGCGGGUGGACUUCCGAGCUUCCCAGCUUGAAGCAAGUGUAGAUGGGGUUUUGCUGGUGGGUUUUCAGGUUCCGAUUCUGUCUGCGAUCCUAGGCCAGCUUCCAAAGCAUCAAGUUUUGCAACAAAUGAACAUAUACAAAUUAGCUGUUAGACAGUGGCAAGACCCGAAAAGACACUUCAAUAUUGUGCCAGACAUCGUAAUAUGGAUCAGGGUCAGAUCAAAUCCUCUCCAAUACUGCCAUUGGAAGCAUAGGAUGAAGAGGUGGUAAAAUUUAGAUUGAAAAGGGAAAAGAAAUACCUUAUGGAUUCGACGACAGAUCUACUGCAGCCAGACCUGCUCCAUUGUCCUUCCAUGCCUUUGUUAAAGAUGGCUGACCGGAUCUUGAUAGAAAAUGAAAGAACUUAAAAAGAGUCUAGAAUGACCACCGACAGGAAAGUGAAACGGACGACGACGGGCAAAUGGUAGCGUACCUAGGUGUCUGUCCAGAUCGUCCCAUAUCCAUAGAUUUCAUCGGGCCGCGACGGGUGGCACAAUUUCCAUGCAUGCUUUAGCUGUAGGUGAAGGUCGAUCGGUGAGCUUUCUGCGGAGAUUUCACUAAUAAGCAUGGUGUGGCGGAGAAAGAAUCGGGAGCAAAUGUGUGGGAAUACAAAGAAAGGA
This 1486-nucleotide long non-coding RNA is filed under the name Linum usitatissimum (flax). RNAcentral describes it as "long non-coding RNA (LUSI_LNC005183)". The record is from RNAcentral. Lineage: Eukaryota; Viridiplantae; Streptophyta; Magnoliopsida; Malpighiales; Linaceae.